Molecule: long non-coding RNA, 2330 nt
Organism: Crocodylus porosus (Australian saltwater crocodile)
Lineage: Eukaryota; Metazoa; Chordata; Crocodylia; Crocodylidae
Source: Ensembl
CUGUUUCAUUAAAGAUAUAUUUUCUCUGAAGGGCUAAAUGUAUAACAUCUUGCUUUAAGGAAUUGGUCCUCGGUUACUACUGUCAUUGCCUGGAGGGAACAGGACUGCAAGGAAAAUCCAACCUGCUGAGAAAAUCAGGGGAACUGCUGCCUAGAGCUAGCUAAGAAGAAGAAUGGGGGAAUUGGACAAUUCUGUCCCCAGAGACAAGUGAUGCUGUAUGAGACUAUAAAUGAGCUGCGGUCAUGAGCCCUCUUCCUGUGAUUCCCAAAAGGUGGAGAACCAAGUAGCCGCUCUUAGUUUCUUUUGUGAUGUUCAUCUCCAGAGAAGCCCCAGAAGUCCAGAUGUUCUUCUGCAAUGAUCCUACUUUGGAGCAGAGAUGGGGUGCUGUUGACUUUUCCACUGGUCAUUUGACAGAUAGGCACAAAUCCAGGAAGCUAUUUGAAUCCUGUAUGAAUUCUUUUAUCCUCAAAGGGACUUCCUGGAAAGGAAAUCAUUAGAGGUUUUUUUUUCUUUUUCUUUUUCUUUUCUCCCUAUCAAAUUUCUAUUCCCAAGGGUUUGGAGGAAACCAUUCUUUUAAUUUUUGACAUUUUCAGUGGGUUUGGAAAGUAAGCUUAUUUGAACAGACUUACUCUUCUACAGCAGGAAAAAGAAGAUAAUGAAAAUAACAGCUAUACACAAGCAAAUAGCAACAACAGCAAGUGUAUAACGCUCCUUUUGGCAGUGGGAGUGCAACUAAUUGCAAGUUCUUUGUGUCUGUAUAUAAGUUUCUUGCCAUUAUUUGUAAAGUUGCUGUCUCAUGUGCCAGGUCAUCUUAAUGGCCAUUGCAGUCGAACCCUUUUGACCUCUUUCCAAGGCCACCAUUUAAUGCUGUUUUCUAUGAAAUUGUACUGAUGCUCAGAGGUGUAUUGGAAAUAAUUAUGAAAAAAGAAAAGACUAUUUAAGAUCCUGGAUCUUAACAGACUUCAGGCCAAAUUAUUCUGUUAACAUCUGAAGUAAUUCUACAUAAAUUAAAUAAGUUUUGCUCGAGUAUUACCAAAAACAAAAUCUGACCUUAAAAGGUGACUGAAACGUGUAUGAAGCUAGGUUCAAUGUUUUAUUCGCUGGUUGCCCGAACAGUGCUAAUGAGAUGUAAACCCAGCUGAACUGGUAGUCAGCGGGAUAUAUGACUGCUUUGUAUCACCACAGCAAAACAAACAGCCAGAAUAUACUAGCUAAUCUGGCUCAGUAUUUAGAAAGUGUGAAGUGAGAGUGAUUACCAAACUCAACUGGCACCAAUGUAAACAUGAGACUGAAGUCACUAAGUCACUUGCACUAAUGUACAAGGAAGAAUUAUAUAAUUUAAUGUACAGAUAGUCAAUCUGGUAGACCAAAAAUUGUAAAAUGUCAUAUUUAUUUUAGAAGUUGUGGCUUCCAUUAAAUAUAAUAAUUUCUCCCUGAGGCUUGAAUUUAAGUGCAGCUUCAAAGUAAGGCCGCUUCUGUUAAACUGAGUCUUUCAUGGCUAACAUAAUAAUGGUGCUGGGCUAGGGUCUCUAUAGGGUCUAUGUAGAUUAAAAACUAUUCAGGGUAGGCACUCCUUGGUCUUUAUGGUACAGGGCAUAACACAAUAGGGUUUCAUGCCUUGACUAAAGUUCCUGGGGCAAUACUAGUACAAAUAAUAACAUGAUAAUAUGAUAAAGGAGAAUUUACUAAAUCAGUGGAGUUAUGUUGUAGCCAUGAUAACCCAGGAAUUAUGCAAGAGGCGAGGAUUUUUGUGGGUGAUAUCUUUUAUUGGACCAAUUGCAUGGUUGGGAUCAAGUUGGACAAGCUUUUGAAUGCAAGGCAUGCUGCAUCUGGUCACCGAUCCUUGCAUUUGAAAGCUUGUCUAACUUGUUCCUGACCAUGCAGCUGGUCCAAGAAAAGAUAUUGCCCACAAAAAAAAUCUUGCCUCUUGCAUAAAUCAGUGGAGGUAGUUAUGGAGAGUGAGGUCAAAGCAAAGAUAGGAAUGGUCCAAUAAUUUAAAACUGCUUAAAAUCAUUUCCUUAUUAUUUACCUGCAAAGACCUGAGUUUAAGGCUCAAUACCACCAGCAAAUACCUGAACCGUUCAGGGCUGCCUGUUAGUUCAUUUUUCAGAGAAUAGUAGAAAAAUGACUCCUUCCUCCAAAUGAAAUUUGACAUCAUCUUUCUACAGAAACAUUCAGACUAGGGAAUGAGAGGCUUUCAGUGCUCUUGAAACUGUCUGUUACUUAUACCACAUCUGGACUACAUUGUGCAAAGGCAGAUAACUGAGGUUUUAAAUAAGAAAAGGGAAUUUUCAAUUUAUUUAAUAAAAAAUGAAGGACACAAGUUUUUC